RNAcentral lists this ribosomal RNA (238 nucleotides) under uncultured bacterium. RNAcentral describes it as "partial 16S ribosomal RNA". It matches the Rfam family "Bacterial small subunit ribosomal RNA", at positions 96 to 334 of the family's 1533-position model. The record is from RNAcentral.
CGGCGGACGGGUGAGUAACGCGUGGGUAACCUGCCUCAUACAGGGGGAUAACAGUUGGAAACGGCUGCUAAUACCGCAUAAGCGCACAGUACCGCAUGGUACGGUGUGAAAAACUCCGGUGGUAUGAGAUGGACCCGCGUCUGAUUAGCCAGUUGGCGGGGUAACGGCCCACCAAAGCGACGAUCAGUAGCCGACCUGAGAGGGUGACCGGCCACAUUGGGACUGAGACACGGCCCAA